CUUGCCACUUCUUAGGUGCCUUCACCCCAUCGAAGCUGAAUAUGCCCUUUGAGAGGUACAUGAGGGGAAUACGGAAACCAUGUGGCCGGUAAAUCACUGGCCUACAGAUUACUUCGACAGAGAUAUUAUUGGCCCAAAAUGUAAGAUGAUGCUGUCAAUUUCAUCAAAUGCUUCAAUCAAUGUUAGAAGAUCGCCAAUAUUCAGCACCUGCC
Molecule: long non-coding RNA, 212 nt
Filed under: Elaeis guineensis (African oil palm)
Lineage: Eukaryota; Viridiplantae; Streptophyta; Magnoliopsida; Arecales; Arecaceae
Description: long non-coding RNA (EGUI_LNC044808)
Source: RNAcentral